AUUGAACGCUGGCGGCAGGCCUAACACAUGCAAGUCGAACGGUAGCACAGAGAGCUUGCUCUCGGGUGACGAGUGGCGGACGGGUGAGUAAUGUCUGGGAAACUGCCCGAUGGAGGGGGAUAACUACUGGAAACGGUAGCUAAUACCGCAUAACGUCGGAAGAUCAAAGUGGGGGACCAUCGGGCCUCACACCCACGGACGUGCGCAGAUGGGAUUAGCUAGUAGGUGGGGUAAUGGCUCACCUAGCCGACGAUCCCUAGCUGGUCUGAGAGGAUGACCAGCCACACUGGAACUGAGACACGGUCCAGACUCCGACGGGAGGCAGCAGUGGGGAAUAUUGCACAAUGGGCGCAAGCCUGAUGCAGCCAUGCCGCGUGUAUGAAGAAGGCCUUCGGGUUGUAAAGUACUUUCAGCGGGGAGGAAGGCGGUGAAGUUAAUAACUUCACCGAUUGACGUUACCCGCAGAAGAAGCACCGGCUAACUCCGUGCCAGCCGCCGCUGUAA
RNAcentral lists this ribosomal RNA (504 nucleotides) under uncultured bacterium. Its description in RNAcentral is "partial 16S ribosomal RNA". It matches the Rfam family "Bacterial small subunit ribosomal RNA", at positions 29 to 523 of the family's 1533-position model. The record is from RNAcentral.